Molecule: long non-coding RNA, 499 nt
Filed under: Pan troglodytes (chimpanzee)
Lineage: Eukaryota; Metazoa; Chordata; Mammalia; Primates; Hominidae
Description: long non-coding RNA NONPTRT000205
Source: RNAcentral
UUCCACAAGAACCACGAGGACAGAGCCGCCUUGCUCCGGACCUUCAGCUUUUGGGGCUUUGAGAUUGUGAGACCGGGGCAUCCCCCCCUUGUCCCCAAGAGACCCGACACUUGCUUCAUGGCCUACACGUCGGGGAGAGAGUCUUUGGGCGAGGAGUAGUAGCGGCCGCAGUGGGGCUGGGCAUCAAGCUCCUGGGGCCGCCCCGGCGUCUGCCGGGUGGGUGCGAACGGUUACCAUAUUGGACAACGCAACCACAGGGCCUGAAAAAUGAGUUGCUUGCCAGGCACGGUGGUGUGCACCUGUAGUCCCAGCUACCCAGGAGGCUGAGGUGGGAGAAUCAUUUGAGCCCAGGAGUUCGAGGCUGCAAUGAACUAUGAUGACAUCACUGCACUCCAGCCUGGAUGACAGAGGAAGACUCAAUCCAUGCUUAUUGUGAUAACAAAUUCCCCAUGUAUCCAAGUUGUAAAGAAAGGUAAGAUGUACCUAAUGAAGGUGUGGG